AUGAAGCUGCGGGGUCUGAUUGAUCUUUGUCUCAUACUAUGUCUGACCUCCAACUCAAAUGGUCAAAUCUGGAGUAUUAAUGUCACUACACACAUCAAUGCAACACUGGGCGCAUCCAUGACCAUACCAUGUACAUUUACCUACCCGAAAAAACACCACACUAAGGAUGUUCAAGUUUAUUGGAAAAAGCCUGGUAAAACUAAAAUUAAAACCAGCGACAACGACAAGAAUCAGUUUGUCUUUCACACAAAUUCAACGUUUGUGAUUGAGAAGUACAGAGGAAAGACAAAUCUCAUUGGAGACAAAGCUAAUGGAGACUGUUCCCUCAAGAUCGUGAACAUCAUGGAAAAUGAACCGAAAAUCUAUGUGAGGCUUGUUGCAAAGGACCAGAACUACAGUUUCGUAAAUAAACCCGUCUCCAUUUUUGUGUCCGGUGCUGAAUCAAUCAAUCUUGGCCAAGGUGUUACAAGCCCCCCACUUUUUACCUUUGAACCCACACACAUAGUGACAACGCUGCAGACUUCGUACAUGUAUGCGGCCAUCUUUGCACCACUCUUGGCACUUCUCAUCAUCACUGUUGUCGCUGCAAUUUUCUGUCACGUAAGACGCAAAAGGUCACAUUCUGUCACCAGGGUGGAAUCUGGGUAUUAUGAAAAUUUUAGCGGAGCAUCGUCAAACCAAGCCAAAAGAGAAGCAUCCUGUGAAAAUCAUGAAAACAAAAAACUUUCUGAACUCAAGGUGAUUGACGACCCCAUCUACGUUAACACCGAGGAACUUACAGGUCACACAGAUGAAAGUACGGAUCAAACUCACAAUGUGUAUGGAAAUGUUGAUUAUUCCAAAUAGUACAAAAGCUGCAUCUCGCAAAUCUUUCUGCACUCAAACUUCUGUAUGAAAAUGCAACUUUUGAAUUCUGCAUUGUCGUGUGCACAUGUUCAUGUCUGUGCAAAUGAGGUGUAUAGGAAGGAUGACAACAAGUCUGACUCAGAAGGAAGAAAGACGACACAACAUCCUCAAAGAGAUUGAAGUGUACAUGUCAUUGCAGAACAAAGAACAGUAGAUUUGCAACAAUUUAUUAUUUACUGCCUUAACAUGGUUGCAGAAAUUGUGAGAGGCCAUCCAGGAAUGGUUUAUUAUAUAACAUGAACUUUUGUGCAAAAAAAUAUUGCCUGCAAGCAUGUUAGCAAGGCCCUUACCAGGACUGUAAAGAUUGUGGACUCUCAGGUACGGACCCAGGGCCUAUCAGGUAUUCAAGGACCUUGGACCAGAGCCUUGAUACCUGACAGGUAUCAAGUACACAGGGGGGCUCAUUUUCAAAUCAUUGGUCCUUGGCUAUAGGCUCGUAACAGGAGUUAGAAACAUGUAUUUAUAUUAUUUCAUAUGACAAUAUUUAAAGUUGUUUGCCAUUCAUGUAUAAUGCUGAAUAAACAAUGAAAUAAUUAAUAAUGUACAGUGUAAAAAUCGCCAAAAUCCCAAACCCUAACCCAGGAAUGUGUUUUAAGUGGAGAGCUUUAAGAUUCCUUGCUGAGCUUCCAGUGUAUAAAUGUCAAAAGUGUAUUAAAAAAAAAAAUCUGAUUUACCAGAUGAACCUUACCUGGUCUAGUCUUCCUAGAAAUCACAUCCAAGUUGGAUUUUGCAUCUCACAAUUAAAGUCCAGCAUAGAAUCGUUUUUUUUCAUGGUUUCCUUUUUAUUGUUUGUAUGUUGCAGUGCAAUGGGCGCUGAGGCAUGAACCUGUCACUAUCAAGCAGUUAGUACAUCGAUUUUGCGAGUUGUUUGCUACACCUCAUGACCAGUGUUCUUUUCUUCUCUGAAUCUAUUCAUGCAAUCUUUUCGACUAGUCUUAAGACUGCAGAGGGAGAACUCGUGACUGUAUAACUUCACUUGACCUUUUGGGUUUGGAAAAUGAGUACACAGUUUUUCAGAGUCUUUCUCAAUAUAACUGCAAAUGGAUUACCUGUUACAUCUAUUCUGGGGCUGAAGCUUCUGUUUGCUUUGUAAAUCCAGUCGCAUCUAAAGAGAUUGAAUUAUUACUUGGACUGUAAUGUUUGAGGACAUAAAUAAAGGCUUAACGAUGAUAAAGAAAAGUACAGGACAGUGUCACUUUGUUGUGUCAAUGUGUGUCUUCUUUGUGGCCUGGAGAAAAUGAUCUCAAAAUGAUGUUCGUGAGAAAACUGUGUGAGAUGGACAGAGUGAGAGUAGCUGUAUAAACACCAAAUGCUCACACUGUGGGCCCAACGGUUUGCAAAACAUUUGGCAACACUUGCAGUGUUAAAGGGUGAAACUAAACUGAAAGUAACACAUUCAAAGACAGUGUUUGAAAUGUGUGAUGCCAUCACUUCAGUGCUCGUAUCUAUGAGCCUAGAUGGUGACCAGCUUCCCCUUUUUCUUCCUUGGAUAUAUUUUUCUCCCUGACAAUUUACCAUUGACACACUUUCAAGCCUUCACAUUAACCCAGGCACAUGCAUGAAUGUUUGUAUUUAAUCUGCCAAAACAAUCUUGGAGACAACAUUGAAUAAUGUUUUAAUGAAUGAAUUAAUAAUAAUAGUUAAUAUGGCAUUAAAAUGACUCUUCUCUGGUGAUUUUUCUUUUACAAAAGCGUGUCUGUAUUGUGCUGCUGUGAUGAGACGAUGCAUGGUGAGCCUCAGCAGUGCACAGACAGACAGUAGCCUUGAGCUGUACUCAGCAGGAAACCAACAUUUCACGUCUUUAGCAGCUACCUUCUUUUCUUUCACACUGAUAAAGCAAAGAGGGAAGAGGACAUUCCAUUUAACAGUGUAACUUGUGAAACAUUGUGUUGUUAUUGGAUGACUGAUAUUGUAUAAAAAGCAAGAGUAACAUAUUUACAAGCAAAUUAUUAUAGUAGUUUAAUGGUGUUCCAUCACAACAUACAACAUAUUUUUGUUAAAUCAGAAAAGUAGACGGCAAAAAGAGAAAAAAGAACUACAAUCACAAGUGCAUCAAACAGUAAGUUGUUUUAAGACAUUAGUUUUGAAUUGUGAAUUACAGAACACAGGAAAAUAACAGCCUACUUCUGUGGUAUAUACAGAAAAUUAACCCAAAUCAUGUGGACAACACACAGAGAGACUGCAGCUGCAC
This is a long non-coding RNA of Scophthalmus maximus (turbot), 3097 nucleotides long. NCBI's taxonomy places the organism in Eukaryota, Metazoa, Chordata, Actinopteri, Pleuronectiformes, Scophthalmidae. The record is from Ensembl.